GCUGGCGGCAUGCCUAACACAUGCAAGUCGAACGGCAGCACGGGAGCUUGCUCCUGGUGGCGAGUGGCGGACGGGUGAGUAAUGCAUAGGAAUCUGCCUAGUAGUGGGGGACAACCUGGGGAAACUCAGGCUAAUACCGCAUACGCCCUAAGGGGGAAAGUGGGGGAUCUUCGGACCUCACGCUAUUAGAUGAGCCUAUGUCUGAUUAGCUUGUUGGUGGGGUAAAAGCCUACCAAGGCGACGAUCAGUAGCUGGUCUGAGAGGACGACCAGCCACACUGG
This 281-nucleotide ribosomal RNA is filed under the name uncultured Gammaproteobacteria bacterium. RNAcentral's name for it is "partial 16S ribosomal RNA". It matches the Rfam family "Bacterial small subunit ribosomal RNA", at positions 35 to 316 of the family's 1533-position model. The record is from RNAcentral. Lineage: Bacteria; Pseudomonadati; Pseudomonadota; Gammaproteobacteria.